GGCCCAGGUCUUUUUACAUACUUGAGACCUUCUACUACAGUUCCCUAUGGCUGUACCAAGCUCUUCCUCACUGCUUGUGAGCAGCAGCCUUGCAGAGGCUGAGCAAUGUAACGAUGUCACAAGUGAGGAUUUGGACCUACCAGAUCAGAACCAUAGCAUUUUACACUAGCAUCUGACAAAGGUGUCCCUAUGCUGAAGAUCAAGAACACAAAGGAAAUCAUGUAGCAAUACCCGAACUGAGGCAUCUUGAUCAGCCAUCAUGUGACAGCCUACCAUCUCUGUUCCAAAUUUCCUUAUGACUCGC
Molecule: long non-coding RNA, 304 nt
Organism: Alligator sinensis (Chinese alligator)
Lineage: Eukaryota; Metazoa; Chordata; Crocodylia; Alligatoridae
Exons: 3
Source: RefSeq, a predicted model, not a curated record